CGAAAGCCUGACGGAGCAAUACCGCGUGAGGGAGGAAGGUUUUUGGACUGUAAACCUCUUUUUUAAAGGAAGAAGAAAGUGACGGUACCUAAUAUAAGCAUCGGCUAACUCCGUGCCAGCAGCCGCGGUAAUACGGAGGAUGCGAGCGUUAUCCGGAAUCAUUGGGCGUAAAGAGUCUGUAGGUGGCACUUCAAGUCUGCUGUCAAAGACCGAAGCUUAACUUCGGGCAGGCGGUGGAAACUGAAGAGCUAGAGUAAAGCAGGGGUAGAGGGAAUUCCCAGUGUAGCGGUGAAAUGCGUAGAGAUUGGGAAGAACACCAGUGGCGAAGGCGCUCUACUGGGCUAAAACUGACACUGAGAGACGAAAGCUAGGGGAGCG
Molecule: ribosomal RNA, 378 nt
Filed under: uncultured cyanobacterium
Lineage: Bacteria; Bacillati; Cyanobacteriota
Description: bacterial SSU rRNA
Rfam family: Bacterial small subunit ribosomal RNA
Source: RNAcentral